This 1440-nucleotide ribosomal RNA is filed under the name uncultured bacterium. RNAcentral's name for it is "16S ribosomal RNA". It matches the Rfam family "Bacterial small subunit ribosomal RNA". The record is from RNAcentral.
GCUGGUGGUGUGCUUAUGCAUGCCAAUCGAACGGUAACAAAAUAGCUCGCUCUUGCUGACUAGUGGCGCACGGAUGAGUGAUGCAUAAGUAACGUGCCCCUUAUUCUAGGAUAGCCGCUGGAAACGAUGAUUAAUACUGGAUACUCCUUCUUCCUUAAUGGAAGUUGGGAAAGUUUUUCUCUAAGGGAUCGGCCUAUGUUGUAUCGUGUAUUUGGAGAGGUAGUGGCUCACCAACCCUAUGACACAUAGCGGGUCAGAGAAGAUGAUCCGCCACAGUGGUACUGACACACAGACCACACUCCUACGGGAGGCAGCAGUGGGGAAUAUUGCACAGUGGACGAAAGUCAGAUGCAACAACGCCGCGUGGAAGAUGACACUUUUCGGUGCGUACACUCCUUUUAUAUGAGAAGAUAGUGACGGUAUCAUAUGAAUAAGCACCGGCUAACUCCGUGCCAGCAGCCGCGGUAAUACAGAGGGUGCACGCGUUAUUCAGAAUCACUGGGCGUAAAGGGUGCAUACGCGGUUUGAUAACUCUGAUGUGAAAUCCUAUGGCUCAACCAUAGAACUGCAUUGGACACUGUCAAACUAGAAUACUGAAGGGGCAUAUGGAAUUAGUGGUGUAGGGGUAAAAUCCGUAUAUAUCACUAAGAAUACCGAAAGCGAAAGCGAUCUGCUGGGAAGUUAUUGACUCUGACGCACGAAAGCGUGGAGAGCACACGAUAUUAUAUACCCCGGUAGUCCACGCCCUACACUAUGAGUGCUACUCGUCAGAAAGCUCGUCUUUUCGGUGAUGCAGUUAACACAUUAAGCAUUCCGCCUGGAGAGUACGGUCGCAAGAUUAAAACUCAAAGGAAUAGACGGGGACCCGCACAAGUGGUGGAGCAUGUGGUUUAAUUCGAAGAUACGCGAAGAACCUUACCAAGCCUUGACAUUGAUUGAAUUCACCAGAGAUGGAGAAGUGCCUUUCGAGGAACAUGAAAACAGGUGCUGCACGGCUGUCGUCAGCUCGUGUCGUGAGAUGUUGGGUUAAGUCCCGCAACGAGCGCAACCCUCGUCGUUAGUUGCUAACAGUUCGGCUGAGCACUCUAGCGAGACUGCCUUCGCAAGGAGGAGGAAGGUGAGGACGACGUCAAGUCAUCAUGGCCCUUAUGGCUUGGGCUACACACGUGCUACAAUGGGGCGUACAGAGAGUUGCGAUACCGCGAGGUGGAGCUAAUCUCAUAAAGCGUCUCUCAGUUCGGAUUGGACUCUGCAACUCGAGUCCAUGAAGCUGGAAUCACUAGUAAUCGUAGAUCAGCAAUGCUACGGUGAAUACGUUCCCGGGUCUUGUACUCACCGCCCGUCACACCAUGGGAGUUGAUUUCACCCGAAAUCGGGAUGCCAAACUGGCUACCGCUUACGGUGGAAUUAGCGACUGGGGUGAAGUCGUAACAAGGUAGC